This 471-nucleotide ribosomal RNA is filed under the name uncultured fungus. RNAcentral describes it as "eukaryotic LSU rRNA". The stretch from base 151 to 304 matches the Rfam family "5.8S ribosomal RNA". Lineage: Eukaryota; Fungi. The record is from RNAcentral.
AUCAUUACCUAGAGUUUGUAGACUUCGGUCUGCUACCUCUUACCCAUGUCUUUUGAGUACCUUCGUUUCCUCGGCGGGUCCGCCCGCCGAUUGGACAACAUUCAAACCCUUUGCAGUUGCAAUCAGCGUCUGAAAAAACAUAAUAGUUACAACUUUCAACAACGGAUCUCUUGGUUCUGGCAUCGAUGAAGAACGCAGCGAAAUGCGAUAAGUAGUGUGAAUUGCAGAAUUCAGUGAAUCAUCGAAUCUUUGAACGCACAUUGCGCCCCUUGGUAUUCCGGGGGGCAUGCCUGUUCGAGCGUCAUUUCAACCCUCAAGCCUAGCUUGGUCUUGGGCUCUGCCGGCAACGGCUGGCCUUAAAAUUAGUGGCGGUGCUAUCAAGCUCUACGUGUAGUAAUUAAACCCUCGCGUGUGAGUCUUGGUUAGACGCUUGCCAGCAACCCCCAAUUUUCUAUGAUUGACCUCUGAUUA